AUCCCUGUGGCUCAGUUGGUAGAGCAUGGUGUUUGCAACGCCAGCAUGGUGUGUGCAACACCAGGGUUGUGGGUUUGAUUCCCACGGGGGGCC
RNAcentral lists this transfer RNA (93 nucleotides) under Salmo salar (Atlantic salmon). It matches the Rfam family "tRNA". From Rfam's summary of the family: Transfer RNA (tRNA) molecules are approximately 80 nucleotides in length. The record is from Rfam by way of RNAcentral. Lineage: Eukaryota; Metazoa; Chordata; Actinopteri; Salmoniformes; Salmonidae.